UGUGUCAGAAAGAUUCGGCAGAAAUUGUGUUGUUUUUGCAUCCAAUAUCAUAAUGACUAUUAUUAUACCUUUCUGGAUAGGGAAUCGACUCAUGAGUCCAACACACUACUUUGCAGUGAUAUAAUUAAGUCAUAUAAGUUUGUUUCAGGCUCGAAUGCAACAUUUUAAUAUUUUCCAUAAUUUUCUCCUUUAUUUUUAUUUUGGAUUAAAAGCUUAUUAGGGUUUCUUUUUUUGUUUUGUUUUUGUUUUGGAUUAAAAGCCCAUUAGGGUUUAUUUUUAUGUGUUUAAACACUUUUGGGUGUGGUCGUCAAAGUUAUCUUUGAU
This 324-nucleotide long non-coding RNA is filed under the name Lathyrus oleraceus (garden pea). RNAcentral's name for it is "Pisum sativum (pea) long non-coding RNA (PSAT_LNC014996)". The record is from RNAcentral. Lineage: Eukaryota; Viridiplantae; Streptophyta; Magnoliopsida; Fabales; Fabaceae.